RNAcentral lists this ribosomal RNA (464 nucleotides) under uncultured bacterium. RNAcentral's name for it is "bacterial SSU rRNA". It matches the Rfam family "Bacterial small subunit ribosomal RNA", at positions 29 to 526 of the family's 1533-position model. The record is from RNAcentral.
AAUGAACGCUAGCGGCAUGCCUAACACAUGCAAGUCGAACGUGGCUAUAUCACUUGUGAUAUAAUUACGUGGCGAACGGGUGAGUAAUACGUGGGAAUCUACCUGUCAGUACGGAAUAGUAUUUGGAAACGAAUAGUAAUACCGUAUAUUCUCUCCGGAGGAAAGAUUUAUCGCUGACAGAUGAGCCCACGUCAGAUUAGGUAGUUGGUGGGGUAACAGCCUACCAAGCCUACGAUCUGUAGUUGGUCUGAGAGGAUGAUCAGCCACACUGGAACUGAGACACGGUCCAGACUCCUACGGGAGGCAGCAGUGAGGAAUAUUGGGCAAUGGGCGAAAGCCUGACCCAGCAAUGCCGCGUGAGUGAUGAAGGCCUUUGGGUUGUAAAGCUCUUUCAGUAGGGAUGAUGAUGACGUUACCUACAAAAGAAGCCCCGGCUAACUCCGUGCCAGCAGCCGCCGUAAUAC